Pongo abelii (Sumatran orangutan) is the source of this 103-nucleotide small nucleolar RNA. Lineage: Eukaryota; Metazoa; Chordata; Mammalia; Primates; Hominidae. The record is from Ensembl.
AUCCUUUUGUAAUUCAUGGGUAUAAUGAUUGGUAUUCACGCAUAUGUGUGAGAUGUGCCACACUCAAACCUUGUUAUGACCUCGGCACAUUACCCAUCUGACC